RNAcentral lists this ribosomal RNA (883 nucleotides) under Nagrajchalara qingchengshanensis. RNAcentral's name for it is "partial large subunit ribosomal RNA". It matches the Rfam family "Eukaryotic large subunit ribosomal RNA", at positions 75 to 975 of the family's 3401-position model. The record is from RNAcentral. Lineage: Eukaryota; Fungi; Ascomycota; Leotiomycetes; Helotiales.
UUACCUCAGUAACGGCGAGUGAAGCGGUAACAGCUCAAAUUUGAAAUCUGGCUCUUUCAGGGUCCGAGUUGUAAUUUGUAGAAGAUGCUUCGGGUGUGGCUCCGGUCUAAGUUCCUUGGAACAGGACGUCAUAGAGGGUGAGAAUCCCGUAUGUGACUGGCUGCCUCCGCCCAUGUGAAGCUCUUUCGACGAGUCGAGUUGUUUGGGAAUGCAGCUCAAAAUGGGUGGUAAAUUUCAUCUAAAGCUAAAUAUUGGCCAGAGACCGAUAGCGCACAAGUAGAGUGAUCGAAAGAUGAAAAGCACUUUGGAAAGAGAGUUAAACAGUACGUGAAAUUGUUGAAAGGGAAGCGCUUGCAAUCAGACUUGCACGUUGCCGAUCAUCCGGGGUUCUCUCCGGUGCACUCGGUUGCGUUCAGGCCAGCAUCGGUUUGGGUGGUUGGAUAAAGGCCUUGGGAAUGUAGCUUCUUUCGGGGAGUGUUAUAGCCCUCGGUGCAAUGCAGCCUACCCGGACCGAGGACCGCGCUUCGGCUAGGAUGCUGGCGUAAUGGUUGUAAGCGACCCGUCUUGAAACACGGACCAAGGAGUCUAACAUCUAUGCGAGUAUUUGGGUGUUAAACCCAUAUGCGUAAUGAAAGUGAACGGAGGUGAGAACCCUUAAGGGUGCAUCAUCGACCGGUCCUGAUGUCUUCGGAUGGAUCUGAGUAAGAGCAUAGCUGUUGGGACCCGAAAGAUGGUGAACUAUGCCUGAAUAGGGUGAAGCCAGAGGAAACUCUGGUGGAGGCUCGCAGCGGUCUGACGUGCAAAUCGAUCGUCAAAUUUGGGUAUAGGGGCGAAAGACUAAUCGAAACCAUCUAGUAGCUGGUUCCUGCCGAAGUUCCCCUCA